Molecule: long non-coding RNA, 694 nt
Organism: Symphalangus syndactylus (siamang)
Lineage: Eukaryota; Metazoa; Chordata; Mammalia; Primates; Hylobatidae
Source: RefSeq, a predicted model, not a curated record
CCCAUAACAUCACCAUCUUGCUUUUGCUUUUUCUGGAAAAAUGUAACUAACUUGAGAAUCAAUUCUACUCUAGCUUCCAAGACAAACCUUAACCUUAGGGUAUUUAUAUGACAAUCUGUGGAGGUACUUAUGGAAUCAGCCCUCCAGACUCACUGAAGCUGGACUUCCCAAAUGAAACUACUACUUUCCAAUGCCUGGACUCAUAAUCCUUGCAAGAAUCCUGGUACAACAACUGCCUAUAAACACUUGCCAAAUCUGAGAUCAAGCUACUAACUGAAGUAGUCACAAUAGGAGGUGUCUUCACUAUAAAAAUAAUGAAGACCAUCAAUUUCAAGUUGGUUUUUUUAUGUCGUGAAUGGAAUGAAGGAGAGAUACCAUAGCUAUCUUUUCAGAGAGAGAAUUGGAUAUACUUUCCUGAUACACUUGGAACACUGUAAUCCUUGGCACAGGUAACAUCCGUGUUCUCAAAAAGGAGUUUGCAUUAUUUUUGCAGAAUGCGCUCAUGGGUCUCGUAUUAAAGUCUGUUCUACUGUGGAGAUACAUCCAGAAGUUCAGCAUAAAUACACUGAUUUUCAAAAACCUAGGAAUUAUCCUGCUUUUACCUUUUAUUCCCUGGAAAAAUUACUUCAAGUAAUUGGAUCUUGGUUUCCUCAUUUGUAAAAUGAAAAUAUUGUUAUUUACACCAUAUGGAUAU